GGGGGCGACUGGCUUCGACCGGACAGGUAGAUGGCUUCGUGGCAUGCCCAGGAUAACGGUUGGCCUGGCUAAAAAGCCGUUACUAUUUUUAACUGGCAACUACCAGUAUAAACUGGCUGCAUAAAUGCGGCUCGUCCUGUGAGAGUACUUUCCGCGACUUUCACAAGGGCGCCGAUAGCGGAAUAGCGGUUCUGAGCGUUCGCGGCAGAAUGGCGAAAUGAAGCGAAAUAGCGAAACAGAUUGCCUGUCGUUUGGCGGUCUGCGGGGCGAAUCUUUGACAAACGACUAAGCAUGUAGAAGCGGAGCUUGAAAUGUCACGGGACGGGGGUUCGACUCCCCCCGCCUCCAGUA
Molecule: transfer-messenger RNA, 351 nt
Filed under: Planctomycetales bacterium 4572_13
Lineage: Bacteria; Pseudomonadati; Planctomycetota; Planctomycetia; Planctomycetales
Also listed under: 2 other names
Rfam family: transfer-messenger RNA
About the family: Bacterial tmRNA, also known as 10Sa RNA or SsrA, is named for its dual tRNA and mRNA-like properties. Its role is to liberate the mRNA from a stalled ribosome. To accomplish this part of the tmRNA is used as a reading frame that ends in a translation stop signal.
Source: RNAcentral